RNAcentral lists this long non-coding RNA (461 nucleotides) under Zostera marina. RNAcentral's name for it is "long non-coding RNA (ZMAR_LNC002534)". Lineage: Eukaryota; Viridiplantae; Streptophyta; Magnoliopsida; Alismatales; Zosteraceae. The record is from RNAcentral.
GUGUCCACCCAUAUGUCCAGCCAUGCCAGCUAUACUUGAUAAAAGUCCUUUAUCACUUUGUUCUGAUUCAUCAUGUUUAUCCUUACCACCACCAGUUGCAGGGUAACCUUGAGGAGGGUAGCUUUCACCAGCUGGAGGAUAAGAUUGAGGUGGAUAACUAGCCGGAGGAUAUCCUCCCUGUGAAGGAUAUCCUUGAGGAGGAUAGGCUUCACUAGAUGGAGGGUAACCUUGAGGAGGAUAGGCUUCACUAGAUGGAGGGUAACCUUGAGGAGGAUAGGCUUCACUAGAUGGAGGGUAACCUUGAGGAGGAUAGGCUCCACCAGCUUGAGGGUAACCUUGAGGAGGGUAGGCUCCACCAGCUUGAGGGUAACCUUGAGGAGGGUAGGCUCCUGGUGGAUACCCAGAUUGAUAUCCACCCACAUUACCGGAUUCAUCAUUCUUACCGUUGCCCAUUAUUCCCU